AGGACGAACGCUGGCGGCGUGCUUAACACAUGCAAGUCGAGCGGAAAGGCCCUUCGGGGUACUCGAGCGGCGAACGGGUGAGUAACACGUGAGUAAUCUGCCCCUAGCUCUGGGAUAGCUCCGGGAAACCGGGAUUAAUACCGGAUACGACCACCUUAGACAUCUUUUGUGGUGGAAAGAAUUUCGGCUAGGGAUGAGCUCGCGGCCUAUCAGCUUGUUGGUGGGGUAACGGCCUACCAAGGCGACGACGGGUAGCCGGCCUGAGAGGGCGACCGGCCACACUGGGACUGAGACACGGCCCAGACUCCUACGGGAGGCAGCAGUGGGAAUAUUGCGCAAUGGGCGAAAGCCUGACGCAGUGACGCCGCGUGGGGGAUGAAGGCCUUCGGGUUGUAAACCCUUUCAGCAGGGACGAAGCGAAAGUGACGGUACCUGCAGAAGAAGCGCCGGCUAACUACGUGCCAGCAGCCGC
RNAcentral lists this ribosomal RNA (472 nucleotides) under uncultured bacterium. RNAcentral describes it as "SSU rRNA". It matches the Rfam family "Bacterial small subunit ribosomal RNA", at positions 26 to 518 of the family's 1533-position model. The record is from RNAcentral.